AGUCUCCAUUCUCCUGAGUGGGCCGGUUGGGGCUUCCUGGAGGAAGGAAGCAGCUUGCUCCGGGUGGGGAGGCCGGCCAUUCACAGGCUCCCGGAAUCAAGCCUGGCCUACAGAACCUUCAGUCUGCACAGACAGGCUGGGGAAACGCUUACUGGGCAUCAGGGUAGCUGUAGCCGCACCAGCAGAACAGGUACACGGGGUGGCAGGUGUCCAUAGGGGGAGCUGGCACACUCAGGUAACCACACUCAGAAGGUCUGGCUCAGAGCUGCCGGUUCCAUGCAGAAAGGGACUGCAGAUGCUCGUCAGCAGUCAGAAAACUUGAGCCUGGGAUGGCUGUAGCUCUGAAGCCAGCAGCAGGCUCGUCACCCGGUACCAUCUCCCCUGGUCUCUAAACCACUGCGGAUCUGUAGCCGUUUUCAUACCUCACAACUGAGGCCAGUCAGGACCGUACCGGUUUUGCCUAAUGGCUGCGGAGUCAGAAGGUCAGGGGCUGGAGGGGCUGGACAUGAGUGUUGGGCUGCAGGUAGAACGCGGGUUCCUUCCGGUGCCGUACUGGGGAAGGAGCUAGAAACAGUGUGCGCAUCCUGGGCAAGCAGUCUGUCACUGGGCUUCACCGUGAUGCCUUCUCUCCUUUGCUAAAACCAUGGCUGCUUCUCAGCGUCUUACCCACGAGGAUAAGGAGGGGCUUCCAGCUAAGAGGGGUGCACCUGUCCAAGGGCCGGUUUUGAAGAAGGAGACGCUUCAGUCUGGAAAGAUAGAGACUCAAGAGACAGGAGUCAGGUUUCUCAAGUUAUCCAGGGAAGGGAAGCCGGCCUGGCCUGAGGACUGCAGGGUGCGACCUUGAGAGCCGUGCACUGAAGCCGCGUAAUCUAGCAGAAAAUGGCUUAGCUGGGAGCAUCUGUUUGAACCAAGUGAAACAGGCCGGGGAGGUUCUAAAGGGACCUAGGAAAUGGCACCAAGGGACACCAGUGGGUGGGACAUGAACCCGUGGGGGUCACAGCAGAACUCAAGUCUAGUCUGUGUGGGUCAGAAGGUGGUAUACUUUCAUUUAAUGUUUUCAGAGCGAGUGAGAGGAAGAAUAAGAACGCAUGUGUGGAACUGAACGAACAAAAA
Molecule: non-coding RNA, 1113 nt
Organism: Peromyscus maniculatus bairdii (prairie deer mouse)
Lineage: Eukaryota; Metazoa; Chordata; Mammalia; Rodentia; Cricetidae
Source: RefSeq, a predicted model, not a curated record